RNAcentral lists this ribosomal RNA (1326 nucleotides) under Lactiplantibacillus plantarum. RNAcentral describes it as "bacterial SSU rRNA". It matches the Rfam family "Bacterial small subunit ribosomal RNA", at positions 67 to 1366 of the family's 1533-position model. The record is from RNAcentral. Lineage: Bacteria; Bacillati; Bacillota; Bacilli; Lactobacillales; Lactobacillaceae.
UGGUAUUGAUUGGUGCUUGCAUCAUGAUUUACAUUUGAGUGAGUGGCGAACUGGUGAGUAACACGUGGGAAACCUGCCCAGAAGCGGGGGAUAACACCUGGAAACAGAUGCUAAUACCGCAUAACAACUUGGACCGCAUGGUCCGAGUUUGAAAGAUGGCUUCGGCUAUCACUUUUGGAUGGUCCCGCGGCGUAUUAGCUAGAUGGUGGGGUAACGGCUCACCAUGGCAAUGAUACGUAGCCGACCUGAGAGGGUAAUCGGCCACAUUGGGACUGAGACACGGCCCAAACUCCUACGGGAGGCAGCAGUAGGGAAUCUUCCACAAUGGACGAAAGUCUGAUGGAGCAACGCCGCGUGAGUGAAGAAGGGUUUCGGCUCGUAAAACUCUGUUGUUAAAGAAGAACAUAUCUGAGAGUAACUGUUCAGGUAUUGACGGUAUUUAACCAGAAAGCCACGGCUAACUACGUGCCAGCAGCCGCGGUAAUACGUAGGUGGCAAGCGUUGUCCGGAUUUAUUGGGCGUAAAGCGAGCGCAGGCGGUUUUUUAAGUCUGAUGUGAAAGCCUUCGGCUCAACCGAAGAAGUGCAUCGGAAACUGGGAAACUUGAGUGCAGAAGAGGACAGUGGAACUCCAUGUGUAGCGGUGAAAUGCGUAGAUAUAUGGAAGAACACCAGUGGCGAAGGCGGCUGUCUGGUCUGUAACUGACGCUGAGGCUCGAAAGUAUGGGUAGCAAACAGGAUUAGAUACCCUGGUAGUCCAUACCGUAAACGAUGAAUGCUAAGUGUUGGAGGGUUUCCGCCCUUCAGUGCUGCAGCUAACGCAUUAAGCAUUCCGCCUGGGGAGUACGGCCGCAAGGCUGAAACUCAAAGGAAUUGACGGGGGCCCGCACAAGCGGUGGAGCAUGUGGUUUAAUUCGAAGCUACGCGAAGAACCUUACCAGGUCUUGACAUACUAUGCAAAUCUAAGAGAUUAGACGUUCCCUUCGGGGACAUGGAUACAGGUGGUGCAUGGUUGUCGUCAGCUCGUGUCGUGAGAUGUUGGGUUAAGUCCCGCAACGAGCGCAACCCUUAUUAUCAGUUGCCAGCAUUAAGUUGGGCACUCUGGUGAGACUGCCGGUGACAAACCGGAGGAAGGUGGGGAUGACGUCAAAUCAUCAUGCCCCUUAUGACCUGGGCUACACACGUGCUACAAUGGAUGGUACAACGAGUUGCGAACUCGCGAGAGUAAGCUAAUCUCUUAAAGCCAUUCUCAGUUCGGAUUGUAGGCUGCAACUCGCCUACAUGAAGUCGGAAUCGCUAGUAAUCGCGGAUCAGCAUGCCGCGGUGAA